AGUGAACGCUGGCGGUAGGCCUAACACAUGCAAGUCGAACGGCAGCACAGUAAGAGCUUGCUCUUACGGGUGGCGAGUGGCGGACGGGUGAGGAAUACAUCGGAAUCUACUUUUUCGUGGGGGAUAACGUAGGGAAACUUACGCUAAUACCGCAUACGACCUACGGGUGAAAGCAGGGGAUCUUCGGACCUUGCGCGAUUGAAUGAGCCGAUGUCGGAUUAGCUAGUUGGCGGGGUAAAGGCCCACCAAGGCAACGAUCCGUAGCUGGUCUGAGAGGAUGAUCAGCCACACUGGAACUGAGACACGGUCCAGACUCCUACGGGAGGCAGCAGUGGGGAAUAUUGGACAAAGGGCGCAAGCCUGAUCCAGCCAUACCGCGUGGGUGAAGAAGGCCUUCGGGUUGUAAAGCCCUUUUGUUGGGAAAGAAAAGCAGCAGGUUAAUACCCCGCUGUUCUGACGGUACCCAAAGAAUAAGCACCGGCUAACUUCGUG
This 492-nucleotide ribosomal RNA is filed under the name uncultured bacterium. Its description in RNAcentral is "partial 16S ribosomal RNA". It matches the Rfam family "Bacterial small subunit ribosomal RNA", at positions 29 to 507 of the family's 1533-position model. The record is from RNAcentral.